AUCUUGCUGGAGAUCUCUGCCUGCCUGAGGCCUUUGGAAGAAAGACGGAAGAAAGUCUCUUUUGUGCAGCCUGAAUUGCCUUGCACAGCACACACCGAAACCCCAGGCUGAGGUGCAGCAAGGGCAGCUGCUCAUCUGAUUUGCCUCAGCAAUGGGUUCAGCUGGCGUUUGCUACGAACUCUUUUCAAACUUAAGUUCCCCUGAGCCCUGGGGAUAGUUUGCUAUUUCAAAGCCAACCCACUGAGGACCCCAAGGCAGCAGUUGGAGCAAAGCUCACAGCCUCUCCCUUUGGAAAAGCCUUCCAAGCACAAGUUUUUGGUCUUCAGCACAGCACAACAAGGGAUAUUCUGGGAGCCAGCUUGUUCUCCUGGUAUGUUUCUUCUCCCUGCCUCCUGCUGCCACUUCAUGGCUUUUAUCUCUCUGCUCUUCCUCCUUUCAUGUCGCUGCUUUGGAGGUGAGAUGUGAUUCUCUCCUCCCCUUUCCACGUGCCAAAACCCAGGAGGUGCACAGCAGCUCAGGGUCCUCCCCAGGACUUUGCAAACCAUGAAAAUGUGGGGAUGCCUGAAGCAAGAAGGACAGAUAUUCAGUGCACCCAACGUCCUCUGAAUCCACUCAUUCGGUCCCACACUCUUUUGGUGGAAUGAUUUAUGUGCUGCCUCUAGGAAGGCUGCAAAGCAGUGGCCAGAGCUCAGCCAGUAGAGUACAAAGAUGUGAAUUAUUCCACCUUUAGUUUGAUUUGCUGGUAGCCAAGCUCAUGCAGCCUGCAGGAAGAAUUUCAGCGUUGCAGUGUAUCACCAAGUUGCAAUAGUACUGCAAUAAAAAUAUCAGCUUUUGUU
This is a long non-coding RNA of Gallus gallus (chicken), 836 nucleotides long. Lineage: Eukaryota; Metazoa; Chordata; Aves; Galliformes; Phasianidae. The record is from Ensembl.